Solanum stenotomum is the source of this 1017-nucleotide long non-coding RNA. RefSeq lists it as uncharacterized. Lineage: Eukaryota; Viridiplantae; Streptophyta; Magnoliopsida; Solanales; Solanaceae. The record is from RefSeq and is a predicted model, not a curated record. The transcript has 2 exons.
UUUUCUGUAUAACAAUGAUUAACAUUUAAGCAACAACAUAUAUUGGCACCAGACAACAUACAAAUCCCCAGACAUGCUAACCAGUCCUCCAAAUCAAUUAGAUACUAAAGCAUGUACAGUUACCUCAUGAAUUGCAAAGAAUAAACUCGAGCUCCGUCUUUUAUCAUAGGAACAGCUAAUAUCACAAUCGAGCAACCAAUGGACACUCACCGGCACCCAUGACCUGCUUGCUUCCCAUGAAGGGAAGCAAUUACUUCUUUUAAUUUCUCACCGAAGAACAUAGUUUGCACCGGGUAUUACAUUUAGGUUUCUAUUAUUAACUCUACUCAUUAGGAUCAUGCAUAUCGUCAGAAUUGCAAUCUGACCGAGGACUAAAAUUUGCAGCUGAACAGCGCAAGAACCAGCUUACAAUAAAACAUAUUACACCGAGAACCACAAAGAUUUUAACUAUGGUGAUCACAGGUAUUGAAAACUCUUAGUAGCAGCAACAAGUCAAUUCGACAAGUACAUAACUUGAUUUUGUAGAAAUCCACUAACUCAUAUAAUAAAAGGCUAGUGGAUUUUGAUGAGCAAAUACCAAUCUGAACAAUAUGAAGUCAAUAGUGGCAGCAGAAGCACGAAACACAUCUGCAUCCUCUAUCUCCCCGCUUUGAGGAAGCUAGAUAUCCAGUGAUGGAAAUUGUCCAAAUGAAAUAAAAAUUGAAGCAUUUUGUCAAAAGAAAGGUUAAAGUUCUCUAACUUAUUUAUCAUUUGGCGGAACUUAGUGCUAUAGAAAUGCACCAGUCACUAAAAAUUCUUCUUAAUGUUUUUAAAAUACAAGCAAAAAUGAUCAAUCAUCAACCCCACCACAUCUUAGACCAAUGUUGUCACUACGAAAUCCUAAAAUCCUUUUUGAUCAACGCAGCAAGUCCAUCCAAUAAAUGGUAGAUAAAAACCAACAGUUAUCAAGAAUCAAACGUACACAUUGCCUGAACAAACUGUAAGUGAAUCAGCAAACACAUGUGAGCUUUAUUAGAA